RNAcentral lists this ribosomal RNA (381 nucleotides) under uncultured eukaryote. RNAcentral describes it as "partial 18S ribosomal RNA". It matches the Rfam family "Eukaryotic small subunit ribosomal RNA", at positions 592 to 976 of the family's 1831-position model. The record is from RNAcentral.
CAAUAGCGUAUAUUAAAGCUGUUGCGGUUAAAAAGCUCGUAGUUGGAUUUCUGUCAAGGACAACUGGUCCGCCCUCCGGGUGAGCACAUAGUUUGGUCUUGACAUCUUGCUGGAAGCUGUUGCUGCACUUGGCUGUGUGGCGCAGUGUUCAGCACUUUCACUUUGAGGAAAUUGGAGUGUUUCAAGCAGGCACAUGCCUUUGGACACAGUAGCAUGGAAUAAUUAGAUUGGGCUUUUGCUCCAAUUUGUCGGUUUCUGGAGCUGAGGUGAGUAUUAAUGGGGAUUGUUGGGGGCAUCCGAAUUUAGCCGUCAGAGGUGAAAUUCUUGGAUCUGCUAAAGACGGACAACUGCGAAAGCGUUUGCCCAGGAUGUUUUCACUGA